UGGGGAAUAUUGGACAAUGGGGGCAACCCUGAUCCAGCAAUGCCGCGUGUGUGAAGAAGGUCUUCGGACUGUAAAGCACUUUCGACGGGGACAAUGAUGACGGUACCCGUAGAAGAAGCCCCGGCUAACUUCGUGCCAGCAGCCGCGGUAAUACGAAGGGGGCUAGCGUUGCUCGGAAUGACUGGGCGUAAAGGGCGUGUAGGCGGUUUACACAGUCAGAUGUGAAAUCCCCGGGCUUAACCUGGGAGCUGCAUUUGAUACGUGUAGACUAGAGUGUGAGAGAGGGUUGUGGAAUUCCCAGUGUAGAGGUGAAAUUCGUAGAUAUUGGGAAGAACACCGGUGGCGAAGGCGGCAACCUGGCUCAUGACUGACGCUGAGGCGCGAAAGCGUGGGGAGCAAACAGGAUUAGAUACCCUGGUAGUCCACGCUGUAAACGAUGUGUGCUAGAUGUUGGGUAACUUUGUUAUUCAGUGUCGCAGUUAACGCGUUAAAGCACACCGCCUGGGGAGUACGGCCGCAAGGUUGAAAC
Molecule: ribosomal RNA, 529 nt
Filed under: uncultured bacterium
Lineage: Bacteria
Description: partial 16S ribosomal RNA
Rfam family: Bacterial small subunit ribosomal RNA
Source: RNAcentral